RNAcentral lists this microRNA precursor (126 nucleotides) under Morus notabilis. Its description in RNAcentral is "mir-172 microRNA precursor family". It matches the Rfam family "mir-172 microRNA precursor family". Rfam says of the family: mir-172 has been experimentally verified in Arabidopsis thaliana. This family is thought to target mRNAs coding for APETALA2-like transcription factors. The record is from Rfam by way of RNAcentral. Lineage: Eukaryota; Viridiplantae; Streptophyta; Magnoliopsida; Rosales; Moraceae.
CUGUUUGCCACUGGAGCAUCAUCAAGAUUCACAAGUGCUUUUCGCUUGUGGGGUUAUAAUAAUAAUAACAAUGAUAAUCCCUUUUGAUCCAUUUGAGAAUCUUGAUGAUGCUGCAGAGACAAUAUU